RNAcentral lists this long non-coding RNA (429 nucleotides) under Selaginella moellendorffii. Its description in RNAcentral is "long non-coding RNA (SMOE_LNC000308)". The record is from RNAcentral. Lineage: Eukaryota; Viridiplantae; Streptophyta; Lycopodiopsida; Selaginellales; Selaginellaceae.
AAUGUCUGGGAACCACGGCAUUUCCAGUCACCCAAAUGCAUACCUGGAGGGGUUGCAAAUAGCCCACAGAUCAAUCCACCAGAUCCAUCAAUCCAAGCAUGCUCUCUAUGGGGCAAUCCCCACAAAUCCAUCAUGCAUUCUUGCAAUCCCACCUCUUAGUGCGCUGCGUCCAGGAUCAUCUAGUAUCGAAGAACAGGCCACAGAUCCCCUCCAUGGAAGAUCAAAUCAAGGUGGACACCAUUUCUAUAACUAAUUGAUUCAAUCACGACAAGAAAGGAAGGGGAAGAAGAAAUGAAAUUCGCCAUAGCUCGAGCUCCAUCCCAGUUAAAAGCCACAAACACAUAAAGCCUAAAUCAUAACAUUUACCACCAGAUAAAAGUGAAAUUAACUUAUGAGAGAAUAAUUUUAUUUUUUUAUCUCAACCUCUGA